Long non-coding RNA from Sander lucioperca (pikeperch), 531 nucleotides. RefSeq lists it as uncharacterized. NCBI's taxonomy places the organism in Eukaryota, Metazoa, Chordata, Actinopteri, Perciformes, Percidae. The record is from RefSeq and is a predicted model, not a curated record. The transcript is spliced from 2 exons.
GCCCACCCGAUUAGCAUUACCACGCUCGAUGGGUUGGAAUUAGAAAACGUGGCGGUGUACAAAUACUUAGGUGUCUGGUUAGACAGUUCCCUCUCCUUCCAGCAACACAUAAACCACCUUCAGUCUAAAGUUAAGUCUAGGAUCGGUUUCCUAUUCCGCAACAAGGCCUCUUUCACUCACACUGCCAAACUCGCCUUUGAUGUCAAUUACAGAACUGCCUCAAACUCUCUCCUGAAAAAACUAGAUGUUGUCUACCACAGUGCCAUACGUUUUGUGACCAGAGCCCCCUAUAACACCCACCACUGAAACCUCUAUGCAUUAGUUGGCUGGCCCUCGUUGCUUAACUCACUGGUACCAACUCAUUUACAAAUCCUUGCUAGGUAAAGCCCCGCUGUACAUACGCUCACUGGUCACCAUAGCUUUACCCACCUGCGCUCUAGCAGUUAAAUCUCCUUGGUCACCCCAAAAGCCCACACCUCCUUUGGCCGCCACUCCUUCCAGUUCUCAGCUGCAAAUGAUUGGAAUGCACUU